CCUACGGGGUGCAGCAGUGGGGAAUAUUGGGCAAUGGGCGCAAGCCUGACCCAGCAACGCCGCGUGAAGGAAGAAGGCUUUCGGGUUGUAAACUUCUUUUGUCAGGGAAGAGUAGAAGACGGUACCUGACGAAUAAGCCACGGCUAACUACGUGCCAGCAGCCGCGGUAAUACGUAGGUGGCAAGCGUUGUCCGGAUUUACUGGGUGUAAAGGGCGUGUAGCCGGGUUGACAAGUCAGAUGUGAAAUCCUGCGGCUUAACCGCAGAACUGCAUUUGAAACUGUUGAUCUUGAGUACUGGAGAGGCAGACGGAAUUCCUAGUGUAGCGGUGAAAUGCGUAGUUAUUAGGAGGAACACCAGUGGAGAAGGCGGUCUGCUGGACAGCAACUGACGGUGAGGCGCGAAAGCGUGGGGAGCAAACAGGAUUAGAUACCCCAGUAGUC
Molecule: ribosomal RNA, 442 nt
Filed under: uncultured bacterium
Lineage: Bacteria
Description: partial 16S ribosomal RNA
Rfam family: Bacterial small subunit ribosomal RNA
Source: RNAcentral